This 303-nucleotide ribosomal RNA is filed under the name uncultured bacterium. RNAcentral describes it as "partial 16S ribosomal RNA". It matches the Rfam family "Bacterial small subunit ribosomal RNA", at positions 507 to 808 of the family's 1533-position model. The record is from RNAcentral.
AGCAGUCGCCACGGUAAUACAGAGGGUGCGAGCGUUAAUCGGAUUUACUGGGCGUAAAGCGUGCGUAGGCGGCUUCUUAAGUCGGAUGUGAAAUCCCUGAGCUUAACUUAGGAAUUGCAUUCGAUACUGGGAAGCUAGAGUAUGGGAGAGGAUGGUAGAAUUCCAGGUGUAGCGGUGAAAUGCGUAGAGAUCUGGAGGAAUACCGAUGGCGAAGGCAGCCAUCUGGCCUAAUACUGACGCUGAGGUACGAAAGCAUGGGGAGCAAACAGGAUUAGAUACCCCCGUAGUCCCUGUCUCUUUACA